UAAUGCCAUUAGGUAUCUGAUGCUCAGUGUGGUUUAUGGCUGUGCGUCUCGUUAGAAUGGCAGAUAAGGAGGAGAGGAGCAGGUCUUGCGACGCUGGUUGCUCUUCUUCCAUGAGCUUCCUGUUACUUUUACCCUUACCCUGCUCACAUUU
Molecule: small nucleolar RNA, 151 nt
Organism: Elaeis guineensis (African oil palm)
Lineage: Eukaryota; Viridiplantae; Streptophyta; Magnoliopsida; Arecales; Arecaceae
Product: small nucleolar RNA F1/F2/snoR5a
Source: RefSeq, a predicted model, not a curated record